AUUGAACGCUGGCGGCAUGCCUUACACAUGCAAGUCGAACGGCAGCGGGGGAGAAGCUUGCUUUUCCUGCCGGCGAGUGGCGAACGGGUGAGUAAUACAUCGGAACGUGCCCUGUAGUGGGGGAUAACUAGUCGAAAGAUUAGCUAAUAACGCAUACGACCUGAGGGGGAAAGUGGGGGACCGCAAGGCCUCAUGCUAUAGGAGCGGCCGAUGUCUGAUUAGCUGGUUGGUGGGGUAAAGGCCUACCAAGGCGACGAUCAGUAGCUGGUCUGAGAGGACGAUCAGCCACACCGAGACUGAGACACGGCCCAGACUCCUACGGGAGGAAGCAGUGGGGAAUUUUGGACAAUGGGCGAAAGCCUGAGCCAGCAAUGCCGCGUGUGUGAAGAAGGCCUUCGGGUUGUAAAGCACUUUUGUCCGGAAAGAAAUGGCUCUGGUUAAUACCUGGGGUCGAUGACGGUACCGGAAGAAUAAGGACCGGCUAACUACGUGCCAGCCGCCGCUGUAA
This 508-nucleotide ribosomal RNA is filed under the name uncultured bacterium. Its description in RNAcentral is "partial 16S ribosomal RNA". It matches the Rfam family "Bacterial small subunit ribosomal RNA", at positions 30 to 523 of the family's 1533-position model. The record is from RNAcentral.